UCACCAGAGAGUCUGUAAACCAGAUUCUGUUCAACCUGAACUCUUCAUGUUCAUCAUCAUCAGUCACUACUAUUAGUGUAGUUGUUGCUACUGCUGUUGCUGUGCACCUGUCUGUCUGUCUGUCUGUCUCUCAAUUCAAUUCAAUUCAGUUCAAAUGGCUUUAUUGGCAUGACGUAACACUGCACAUAUUGCUAAAGCAAGCGUUUGGAAUUAAAAUAAUAAUAACAAUAAAGGAAAACAAUAUUUACAAUAAAUGAAUUAUAAUCUAUACUGUUGGUAAUACUGUAACUAUGAUUGACUCAAUUACAAUCACAGUCACAAUCAAUCAAUCUCAGUCAAUAAGUAAUUAAUUACAAUCAAUCAAUCAAUCAGUUUGUGUCAACUACAAAUGUCAUUAAAACAGUAGUAAAGUAACUACAGUUAAAACAAGUAGUCUGUUGUCAAUAUAACAGUAAUAACAAAUUAUUAAAUAUAAUAUAUAUAUAUAAUAUUGAAAUAUUAAAAUAAAAUAGAUAGAUAAAACUGUAAGUGUGUGUGUGUCUGUGUGUGUGUGUGUGUGUGUGUGUGUGUGUGUGUAUAUAUAUAUAUUAAAAAACAACAAUAAAACAAUCAAUUAUUUUAUACAUUUAUCUGAGUUUCCACUGGUUGUCCUCAGUUCGUGGCAUGAGGAGACAUAUUUUGCUGCAAUAAUUUGACUUUUGGGCAUUUCUCCCAGUAAAUAGGGGAGUUUCUGUGUGUCUGAUAAUAAUUUGAAUUCGGGGUAUAUUUGGGAAAUGUUUGUGAAUUGUUUUUCUCUUAAAGUUUUGAAUUUAGGGCAUGAGGUUAGAAAGUGCAGCUCUGUCUCUACCUGUCCUCUGUCACACUGGGAGCAGAGUCUCUCCUCUUCUGGUAGCCAGUUCUGUCUGUGGUGACCCGUUUCUAUGGCCAGGCUGUGUUCACUCAGUCUGUACAUUGUCAACAUUUUUCUUAAUUUAGGACAUUUUAUUGUGAUCAGGUAAUUUGCCAGUGUGAAUUCUCUUUUUAGGGUCAGAUAACAUUGUAAUUUACUUUGUGAUUUGGUCGUUUCUUUCCAGUGUUCAAUAUAUUUUCUUUUUGCUUGUUGAUAAUUUGGUUUGGUCUGAUUGAGUUGGUGUUGCUGUCCUGAGGCUGUUGGGGACAUGUUACUGCAGAGAGCCUCAGGACCAGCUGGCUGAGGGGACUCUUCUCUGGUUUCAGCUCCUGGUAUGUUAGGGCUUUGUGAUGGUAUGUCUGGGGGUUAACUGAUUUUAAGUGAUUGUAAAAUUGAAUUGAUCUUUUCUGUAUUUUUAGUAGGAGGGGGUAUUGGCCGAGUUCUGCUCUGCACAGAUUAUUUGUUUUGGUCCCCAAAUUUCGCUGCCAUAUAGAAUUAUUGGUUCUAAUUCAAAUUGGAAAAUUUUAAGCCAGAUUUCAAUUGGAAUAUAGAUUUUAAUGUUUGUCUUUAUUGCAUAGAAAGCUCUCCUUGCUUUGUCCCUCAGAUCUUUCACAGCCAUGUUGAGGUUUCCUGUGUAUGUAAUGUUGAGGCCAAGGUAAGUGUAAUUUUUUGUAUGUUGUAAUUUAGUGGUGUCUAAAUAAAAAUUGUGUGUAACCAGA
Molecule: long non-coding RNA, 1608 nt
Organism: Dicentrarchus labrax (European seabass)
Lineage: Eukaryota; Metazoa; Chordata; Actinopteri; Moronidae
Exons: 2
Source: RefSeq, a predicted model, not a curated record